AACGAACGCUGGCGGCAUGCCUAACACAUGCAAGUCGAACGAGACCUUCGGGUCUAGUGGCGCACGGGUGCGUAACGCGUGGGAACCUGCCCUUAGGUUCGGAAUAACUCCCCGAAAGGGGUGCUAAUACCGGAUAAUGUCUUCGGACCAAAGAUUUAUCGCCUUUGGAUGGGCCCGCGUUGGAUUAGCUAGUUGGUAGGGUAAAAGCCUACCAAGGCGACGAUCCAUAGCUGGUCUGAGAGGAUGAUCAGCCACACUGGGACUGAGACACGGCCCAGACUCCUACGGGAAGCAGCAGUGGGGAAUAUUGGACAAUGGGCGAAAGCCUGAUCCAGCAAUGCCGCGUGAGUGAUAAAGGCCUUAGGGUUGUAAAGCUCUUUUACCCGGGAUGAUAAUGACAGUACCGGGAGAAUAAGCUCCGGCUAACUCCGUG
This 433-nucleotide ribosomal RNA is filed under the name uncultured bacterium. Its description in RNAcentral is "partial 16S ribosomal RNA". It matches the Rfam family "Bacterial small subunit ribosomal RNA", at positions 29 to 507 of the family's 1533-position model. The record is from RNAcentral.